GCGGAACGCCAAGACAGGGGGCUCCUCACUCAAGUGCUAGGCCAGCCCCACCCUGCCAUCCACUCUGGAGCCAGUGGUGUGGUGAUGAGAAAUGGCACAAUUCUUUUCACAUGCAGGACAAGCAUCUUCAUCAUUUCAUUUUUGUACCUCUCGGAUUUCAGGGCUCAGCAGAACUUCGGGAGUGAACGUGUUCACAGCUUUUAGGCCAGCCGGGCCGACCCUUCCCAAUCUCUGCUUGGUGUGGAAAGACCACAGACCUCAGAUCAAAUCAAGUCAAAAUGGACAGCCAGCCUUUCUCUCAAGAAGCAUGUUUGGAAAAGAAGCGGAGGGAUGGACACUUUGUGUGUGAAAAACACAUAUACAAUCAGUGGGAAACAUAUUUGUCUAAAAAUAUUAAAUUAAAAACUUCUUAGUGUGACAG
Molecule: long non-coding RNA, 421 nt
Filed under: Fukomys damarensis (Damara mole-rat)
Lineage: Eukaryota; Metazoa; Chordata; Mammalia; Rodentia; Bathyergidae
Description: lncRNA (ENSFDAG00000027496.1)
Source: RNAcentral